GAUGAACGCUGGCGGCGUGCCUAAUACAUGCAAGUCGAGCGAACAGAUGAGGAGCUUGCUCCUCUGACGUUAGCGGCGGACGGGUGAGUAACACGUGGAUAACCUACCUAUAAGACUGGGAUCACUUCGGGAAACCGGAGCUAAUACCGGAUAAUAUAUUGAACCGCAUGGUUCAAUAGUGAAAGACGGUUUUGCUGUCACUUAUAGAUGGAUCCGCGCCGCAUUAGCUAGUUGGUAAGGUAACGGCUUACCAAGGCAACGAUGCGUAGCCGACCUGAGAGGGUGAUCGGCCACACUGGAACUGAGACACGGUCCAGACUCCUACGGGAGGCAGCAGUAGGGAAUCUUCCGCAAUGGGCGAAAGCCUGACGGAGCAACGCCGCGUGAGUGAUGAAGGUCUUCGGAUCGUAAAACUCUGUUAUUAGGGAAGAACAAAUGUGUAAGUAACUAUGCACGUCUUGACGGUACCUAAUCAGAAAGCCACGGCUAACUACGUG
This 497-nucleotide ribosomal RNA is filed under the name uncultured bacterium. RNAcentral describes it as "partial 16S ribosomal RNA". It matches the Rfam family "Bacterial small subunit ribosomal RNA", at positions 28 to 507 of the family's 1533-position model. The record is from RNAcentral.